AGAGUUUGAUCAUGGCUCAGGAUGAACGCUAGCGGCAGGCCUAAUACAUGCAAGACGAACGGUAAGUUGAGUAGCAAUACUUAGCCAAGAGUGUCGUACGGGUGCGUAACACGUAUGCAACCUACCCUAUACAGGAGGAUAGCCUAGGGAAACCUGGAUUAACCCUUCAUAGUAUUAUUGGAUGGCAUCAUUUGAUAAUUAAAACUGAGGUGGUAUAGGAUGGGCAUGCGUCUGAUUAGUUAGUUGGCGGGGUAAUGGCCCACCAAGACGAUGAUCAGUAGGGGUUCUGAGAGGAAGAUCCCCCACACUGGCACUGAGAUACGGGCCAGACUCCUACGGGAGGCAGCAGUAGGGAAUAUUGGUCAAUGGAUGCAAGUCUGAACCAGCCGUGCCGCGUGCAGGAAGAAGGCCUUCCGGGUUGUAAACUGCUUUUGCCAGGGGAUAAAAUUUCCAUGCGUGGAAAACUGAAGGUACCUGGUGAAUAAGCCACGGCUAACUACGUG
Molecule: ribosomal RNA, 503 nt
Filed under: uncultured bacterium
Lineage: Bacteria
Description: bacterial SSU rRNA
Rfam family: Bacterial small subunit ribosomal RNA
Source: RNAcentral